AAGGGUCCGUAGGCGGUUUGGUAAGUCAGUGGUGAAAGCCCAUCGCUUAACGAUGGAACGGCCAUUGAUACUGCCAGACUUGAAUUACUAGGAAGUAACUAGAAUAUGUAGUGUAGCGGUGAAAUGCUUAGAUAUUACAUGGAAUACCAAUUGCGAAGGCAGGUUACUACUAGUGGAUUGACGCUGAUGGACGAAAGCGUGGGGAGCGAACAGGAUUAGAUACCCCUAGU
RNAcentral lists this ribosomal RNA (230 nucleotides) under uncultured bacterium. RNAcentral describes it as "partial 16S ribosomal RNA". It matches the Rfam family "Bacterial small subunit ribosomal RNA", at positions 563 to 791 of the family's 1533-position model. The record is from RNAcentral.